This is a long non-coding RNA of Anolis carolinensis (green anole), 1691 nucleotides long. RefSeq lists it as uncharacterized. The transcript is spliced from 2 exons. Lineage: Eukaryota; Metazoa; Chordata; Lepidosauria; Squamata; Anolidae. The record is from RefSeq and is a predicted model, not a curated record.
ACAUAUAUUCAAAUAUAUUCAUCCGGAGUUUCAGGGUGCGGUGUCAUCUGUACGCAGAUGAUGUCCAGCUCUGUCACUCCUUCCCACCUGUCACUCAGGAGGCUGUCCAGGUCCUGAACCGGUGUCUGGCCGCUGUGUCGGACUGGAUGAGGGCCAACAAAUUGAAAUUGAAUCCAGACAAGACAGAGGUCCUCCUGGUCAGUCGCAAGGCCGAACAGGGAAUAGGGUUACAGCCUGUGUUGGACGGGGUCACACUCCCCCUGAAGACACAGGUUCGCAGUCUGGGGGUGAAGGCCCGCUGGGGGAAAAUGGCUAUCUCCAGGUCUGGCUACCCAAGCGGCUUCGGUUUACCUUAUAAUUAUACCUCAAACCCCAAAGUAAAUACUCUAGAAGCUGAUUAAAGAUAACCAAAAAUAUGUUUAUUGAAAACAGGAAACAGUCCUUUUCAUGUAUUAGAAAUAAUAUGAAGUAAAAUCACUGAAAUUAUACAGAAAUAAAACUACCCUGUUUCCCCUAAAAUAAGACAUCCCCAGAAAAUAAGACCUAGUAGAGGUUUUGCUGAAUUGCUAAAUAUAAGGCCUCCCCCGAAAGUAAGACCUAGCAAAGUUUUUGUUUGGAAGCAUGCCUGCCAAACAGAACACCAGAGCAUGCAGGAUCGGUAAAUGUACAUACUAUAAAGUGUUGUACAUGGAAAUAUUAGUAACAAGAAAUUCUUGAUAGGAUUCACAGUUUGUCUGGUUAUGCUGGUUUGUGAUGACAACUACUGUACAGUAUAUAAUAAAUGUUCAUUUUUUGUUCAACAAUAAAUGUGAAUUCUUCUUCAUGGAAAAAUAAGACAUCCCCUGAAAAUAAGACCUAGUGCAUCUUUGGGAGCAAAAAUUAAUAUAAGACACUGUCUUAUUUUCGGGGAAACACGGUAUACUGAUUGAGAAUGAAAGCUAUAGAGACUAUAAAGGAUUAACACACAAGCUAUGAGGAAAGGUAGGUACUAUAGGGUAAGUACAAGGCUAUGAUAAGCACGAUCUAUAAUGACUUUAGUGGUAAAUACCAGCUAUAGUGAACUAUCUAUAAUAACUCUGAGGUAAACCAUAAGGUGAUAAGCUAUAAGGUAAGUACAUAAGGUAAGUACAUAAGGUAAGUACAAGGUGAACUAUAAGCUUUGCUAUCUUUGAGGUAAAUACCUAAAGCUAUGAUGUGACUAUAAGGUAAGUACAAGGCUAUGAGGUAAACUGUAAGGUAAGUACAUGGCUAUGAUGAACUCUAUCUGUAAUGGUAAGUAUGAGGCUAUGAGGUAAGUACAUAAGGUAAGUACAUAAGGUAAGUACAAGGUGAACUAUAAGCUUUGCUAUCUUUGAGGUAAAUACCUAAAGCUAUGAUGUGACUAUAAGGUAAGUACAAGGCUAUGAGGUAAACUGUAAGGUAAGUACAUGGCUAUGAUGAACUCUAUCUGUAAUGGUAAGUAUGAGGCUAUGAGGUAAAUCUAUAUAUAUAAAAGAGUGAUGGCAUCACGGCGACCCACAAAACAACAAAACUACAGGCCCCCCAACCUCGAAAUUUGACAACACAACCCAUCAUCCACGCCUCUAGGUUGAUACAACAAAAAGAAAAGAAAAAUAAAGUCCUAAUUAGAGGGAGAGGAGUAAUUGCUUUUAUCCAAUUGCUGCCAGUUAGAAGGCUAAGCUCCUCCAACU